Molecule: non-coding RNA, 44 nt
Filed under: Trichobilharzia regenti
Lineage: Eukaryota; Metazoa; Platyhelminthes; Trematoda; Strigeidida; Schistosomatidae
Source: RNAcentral
AGUGGCUGAUGAAUCCCAAAUAGGACGAAAUGCGCAUCCCAGAU